This 733-nucleotide ribosomal RNA is filed under the name uncultured bacterium. RNAcentral's name for it is "bacterial SSU rRNA". It matches the Rfam family "Bacterial small subunit ribosomal RNA", at positions 28 to 776 of the family's 1533-position model. The record is from RNAcentral.
GACGAACGCUGGCGGCGUGCCUAACACAUGCAAGUCGAGCGAUGAAGUUUCCUUCGGGAAACGGAUUAGCGGCGGACGGGUGAGUAACACGUGGGUAACCUGCCUUGUAGAGGGGGAUAGCCUUCCGAAAGGAAGAUUAAUACCGCAUAAUAUUGUAGUAUCGCAUGGUACAACAAUCAAAAGAGCAAUCUGCUACAAGAUGGACCCGCGGCGCAUUAGCUAGUUGGUAAGGUAAUGGCUUACCAAGGCGACGAUGCGUAGCCGACCUGAGAGGGUGAUCGGCCACAUUGGGACUGAGACACGGCCCAGACUCCUACGGGAGGCAGCAGUGGGGAAUAUUGCACAAUGGGGGAAACCCUGAUGCAGCAACGCCGCGUGAGUGAUGACGGUCUUCGGAUUGUAAAACUCUGUCUUUGGGGACGAUAAUGACGGUACCCAAGGAGGAAGCCACGGCUAACUACGUGCCAGCAGCCGCGGUAAUACGUAGGUGGCAAGCGUUGUCCGGAUUUACUGGGCGUAAAGGGAGCGUAGGCGGAUUUUUAAGUGGGAUGUGAAAUACUCGGGCUCAACCUGAGUGCUGCAUUCCAAACUGGAGAUCUAGAGUGCAGGAGGGGAGAGUGGAAUUCCUAGUGUAGCGGUGAAAUGCGUAGAGAUUAGGAAGAACACCAGUGGCGAAGGCGACUCUCUGGACUGUAACUGACGCUGAGGCUCGAAAGCGUGGGGAGCAAACAGG